CCUGAAUAUAUAGGGCAUUUGGCGGGAACUGGGGGAACUGAAACAUCUUAGUACCCCAUGGAAAAGAAAGUAAACAACGAUGCCGGAAGUAGUGGCGAGCGAAACCGGUACAGCCCAAACCUUUUAGAUUUCCGUUUGUUCGCAAACGGAUAAGUUGAUAGACGAAUAUCUACAAGGGGUUGUGACACUACAAACACCCAGUCCUGAUGAACUAUCCUCGGAUAGAGCAUCGGGAUUGGUAGCAGGGGCUAUCACUACCCUGCAUAAGGUUACAAAUUUGCGAAGCGAGCAGAACUGUUUGGAAAGACAGGCCAGAGACGGUGAUAGCCCGGUAUGCCAAGCGUCGCAAACCUUAUAUUUGUAGGAGUUUGUAUUUGAACUUGUUCAAAGCCAAACUCGUAUGUCGAGUAGGUCGGAACACGAGAAACUCUGACUGAAUCUGGGACGACCACGUCCCAAGGCUAAAUAUAUCUUGCGAUCGAUAGUGAACUAGUACCGCGAGGGAAAGGUUAAAAGAACCCCGGAAGGGGAGUGAAAUAGAACCUGAAAUUGUGUGCGUACAAGGACUGGGAGCCCUUCGGGGUGACCGGGUGCUUUUUGUAGAACGAUCCAACGAGUUAAUUCUUGGUGCCAGCCUAAACCAUUUGGUGGAGGCGCAGUGAAAGCGAGCCUGAAUAGGGCGAAUUAGUACCAAGGAUUAGACCCGAAACCAGGUGACCUAACCAUGGGCAGGUUGAAGCGCAUCUAAACGUGCGUGGAGGACCGAACCGUAGCGAGUUGCAACACGCCCGGAUGACCUGUGGUUAGAGGUGAAAUGCCAAUCGAACCUGGAGAUAGCUGGUUCUCCUCGAAAUAGCUUUAGGGCUAGCGUCGUACGGUAGCACAAUGGGGUAGAGCUCUGAUUCGGACUGGGGCCCUCACGGGUACCCACCCUUGUCAAACUACGAAUACGUUGUGUGGAACUACGGCAGUCAGAACGGCGGGGCUAAGCUCGUCGCUCGAAAGGGAAACAGCCCAGAUCAUCAGCUAAGGUCCCUAAAUGUAUGUUAAGUGGGAAACGAGGUGAGAUUUCUUAAACAACGAGGAUGUUGGCUUAGAAGCAGCCAUUCAUUUAAAGAGUGCGUAACAGCUCACUCGUCAAGAGAUCUUGCGCGGAAAAUGUAACGGGGCUAAACAUACUACCGAAGCUAUGGAUGUCACAUUUAUGUGGCGUGGUAGAGGAGCGUUGAUAGGGCGUUGAAGUUGGACUGCGAGGUCUGGUGGAGCGCUAUCAAGUGAGAAUGUUGGAAUGAGUAACCAUAAGGCAGGUGAGAAUCCUGCCCGCCGAAAGAGCAAGGUUUCCUGGGCCACGGUAAUCGUCCCAGGGUUAGUCGGUCCUAAGCCGAGGCGCGUAGCGUAGGCGAUGGACAACGGGUUAAUAUUCCCGUACUAGCUAUGUAUUGUUCAGUGUGCGCGGCAUAUUAGUUGGAGCGGGUUCAUGGUUAUAUCCGUCUAAGUAUCAGAAAUAGGUACGAAUGAGAUGGCCAUUAGGCUAGAUUCCAGUGAAAGUGCUGACCAGAAAAGCAACUGAACGCGUGUACAUAGCUAUCCGUACCGCAAACCGACACAGGUGCUCAGGUCGAGUAGACCCAGGCGUACGAGUGAUUCUUCGUUAAGGAACUCGGCAAUUUAGCGACCGUAACUUCGGGAUAAGGUCUGCCCCGUCACUAUGUUUACAAACUAGUGACAUUGCCAGUUUUCUUUCUUAGAAAACAGAAAUGAUAUCGAGAUUAAUUUGAGACAACACAUCAGAAGGAAGAGAGCUGACUCUGUUUACUAUGUCUUUGCAGAUAUAGUGACGGGGCCGCAGCUAAGGAGCCCACGCAACUGUUUACCAAAAACACAGGUCUCUGCGAACACGAAAGUGGAUGUAUAGGGGCUGACUCCUGCCCGGUGCUGGAAGGUUAAGGGGAGUGCUUUACGGUGCGAACUGAAGCCCCAGUGAACGGCGGCGGUAACUAUAACCGUCCUAAGGUAGCGAAAUUCCUUGUCUGGUAAGUUCAGACCCGCACGAAUGGAGUAAUGAUGUGGGCACUGUCUCAACGAAGAGCUCGGUGAAAGUGCAUUGACGGUAAAGAUGCCGUCUGUCCGCAGCAGGACGAAAAGACCCCGUGGAGCUUUACUACAGUUUGACAUUGUGUCGAGCUGCAACAUGUGUAGCAUAGGUGGGAGACUUUGAAACUUAGACGCUAGUCUAGGUGGAGUCGCAAUAUGAAAUACCACCCUUGUUGUAGUUUUACACUCACGGGGACCACAAAGAGUAGAAGUCACAGCACGUUUUGAUAUAUAACGGGGC
This 2335-nucleotide ribosomal RNA is filed under the name wastewater metagenome. Its description in RNAcentral is "bacterial LSU rRNA". It matches the Rfam family "Bacterial large subunit ribosomal RNA", at positions 157 to 2245 of the family's 2925-position model. The record is from RNAcentral.